This 253-nucleotide ribosomal RNA is filed under the name uncultured bacterium. RNAcentral describes it as "partial 16S ribosomal RNA". It matches the Rfam family "Bacterial small subunit ribosomal RNA", at positions 524 to 776 of the family's 1533-position model. The record is from RNAcentral.
UACAGAGGGGGCAAGCGUUGUUCGGAAUUACUGGGCGUAAAGGGCGCGUAGGCGGCCGCCUAAGUCAGACGUGAAAUCCCUCGGCUCAACCGGGGAACUGCGUCUGAUACUGGGUGGCUUGAAUCCGGGAGAGGGAUGCGGAAUUCCAGGUGUAGCGGUGAAAUGCGCAGAUAUCAGGAGGAACACCGAUGGCGAAGGCAGGUCUCUGGGCCGAUACUGACGCUGAGGAGCGAAAGCGUGGGGAGCGAACAGG